Molecule: long non-coding RNA, 1074 nt
Organism: Hemiscyllium ocellatum (epaulette shark)
Lineage: Eukaryota; Metazoa; Chordata; Chondrichthyes; Orectolobiformes; Hemiscylliidae
Exons: 5
Source: RefSeq, a predicted model, not a curated record
UCACCCUCGCGCCGGACGCAGAGUCGCUGUAAUGAAUGCUCGGGAAGUUAUGGAGAAAAAGGAUACGAUCCCAGUGAUUAAUGCCAAAGCCCCAUUGCCUGUGGAGAGGGUGAUGUUUGACUUCCUUGUACAGCUGCAGUUUGUGUGGUGAAGGUGCUCCCACAAUGUGGUUGGGUGGACAUUCAGAUGGUCACCUCAGUAUUUGAAACACCACACUCUGACAGAAUUACUCAAUUCAUCAGGACCUGGAUAUUUGCAUUUAGUUGGUACUGAAAGGGUGGAUUUGUGGAUGAAAAAUUCAAAUUGAGCUUCAUGUUCAGACCUGAUGGUUACUGGAUCCGUGCCGAUCUGAAUAUCAUUGGCCUUUUCAUCUGGAAGGAAAGGGUGCAAGAUGGUGAAGGUUUGCAGACUAAAAUCUCAAAGACAUGUGCAGAUUGUGAUUAAGUUAACCAGCAUUUGAAGAACCAAACAUAGAGAAUCACUCGGCCAAAAUCCUGCAACACUCUCCCUCCCAGCAUUGUCGGUCUAUCUGCGCCAAAUAGAUUGUGAAUGGUACAAGACAGCAGCUCACUACCAUCUUCUCAAGGGUAACUAGAGAUGGGGAAUAAAUGCUGGCUGAGCCAGUGAUGCCCAUAUCCUGGAAAUGGUUUAUCUCUAUAGUUGCUGAAACCCGGUUGAUGUUACUACAGGAUGAUGAGGGAUGCUGAGUGCAUCCUCCAGGAGGCAGCACCAUCACAUUACCCCUGCCUACACCCACACAGUAACACCGCAACGUCACUGGAACAAAAGGCAGUGAAACCAAAGGAGGACUUAGAUAUAGUUCUUCGAGGUAAAGUCAUGAAAGGGGAUUGGAACACAGCAGGAACAGGAGACUGAGCUGGAGGGUCAGCUGUUUCCCAUUGAAUGGUGGAGCAGGAUUGAAAGGCCGAAUAGCCUCCUCCUGCUGCUAUCUCCCAGGUAUGUAUAUAGUCAUGGAGCCCAGGUAGGAAGAAGUGGGCAGGGAUUCUCCACGAGAUUGCAUUUCCACAUCUGUUUUAAGUGAGGGAUAGUUUGAUGGAUUUUAUUUAACAUUUA